AGUGAACGCUGGCGGUAGGCCUAACACAUGCAAGUCGAACGGCAGCACAGUAAGAGCUUGCUCUUACGGGUGGCGAGUGGCGGACGGGUGAGGAAUACAUCGGAAUCUAUUUUUUCGUGGGGGAUAACGUAGGGAAACUUACGCUAAUACCGCAUACGACCUACGGGUGAAAGCAGGGGAUCUUCGGACCUUGCGCGAUUGAAUGAGCCGAUGUCGGAUUAGCUAGUUGGCGGGGUAAAGGCCCACCAAGGCGACGAUCCGUAGCUGGUCUGAGAGGAUGAUCAGCCACACUGGAACUGAGACACGGUCCAGACUCCUACGGGAGGCAGCAGUGGGGAAUAUUAGACAAUGGGCGCAAGCCUGAUCCAGCCAUACCGCGUGGGUGAAGAAGGCCUUCGGGUUGUAAAGCCCUUUUGUUGGGAAAGAAAAGCAGCAGGUUAAUACCCCGCUGUUCUGACGGUACCCAAAGAAUAAGCACCGGCUAACUUCGUG
Molecule: ribosomal RNA, 492 nt
Filed under: uncultured bacterium
Lineage: Bacteria
Description: partial 16S ribosomal RNA
Rfam family: Bacterial small subunit ribosomal RNA
Source: RNAcentral